UUCAGCAAGAUGUUAUCUCUCAUAACAAAGAGAUAGAAUAUGAAAUUGGCAGCCAGUAUUGAUAUAUUGUGGUACUAAAAGCUCCAAUGCCAUGAGGGAUUGAAGACAUAACAGGAAUUGUGUGGGAUUUGACCAACCUUAGACUAAAGAGAAAAGUUGUUGCUGCAUUACAGAUAUUUUGAACUCAGCAUUUUUUUAUUAAUGUUUUUAAUGUUAAUUAUCUCCCUUGUGAAUAAUAUUAUAUUUAUUGUUGCAAUGAGCAUGAAUUGAAAGUUCCUCAUGUCUGUAAAACUGUUUUCCCUUGACAUUGACCACAUUUCAUGGAUCUGUAAAAAAAGUUAUGUACCCAUGGUCAAGUCCAUGUAUCAGAUUCAAAUAGCAAUAGGUCUGCUUAAUUUUAUAUACUUAUGAUUGAUCCUGAUCUCAUUGUCAUGGUUUAUUAAUCAAUGUUUAUACAUGUAUUCAAAAG
Molecule: long non-coding RNA, 469 nt
Filed under: Mytilus galloprovincialis (Mediterranean mussel)
Lineage: Eukaryota; Metazoa; Mollusca; Bivalvia; Mytilida; Mytilidae
Source: RNAcentral